Molecule: microRNA, 22 nt
Filed under: Medicago truncatula (barrel medic)
Lineage: Eukaryota; Viridiplantae; Streptophyta; Magnoliopsida; Fabales; Fabaceae
Description: mtr-miR2608
Source: miRBase by way of RNAcentral
GUUGUACAUAUAUCACUACUCU